RNAcentral lists this ribosomal RNA (1382 nucleotides) under Lacticaseibacillus paracasei. Its description in RNAcentral is "Lactobacillus paracasei 16S ribosomal RNA". It matches the Rfam family "Bacterial small subunit ribosomal RNA", at positions 91 to 1458 of the family's 1533-position model. Lineage: Bacteria; Bacillati; Bacillota; Bacilli; Lactobacillales; Lactobacillaceae. The record is from RNAcentral.
ACGAGUGGCGGACGGGUGAGUAACACGUGGGUAACCUGCCCUUAAGUGGGGGAUAACAUUUGGAAACAGAUGCUAAUACCGCAUAGAUCCAAGAACCGCAUGGUUCUUGGCUGAAAGAUGGCGUAAGCUAUCGCUUUUGGAUGGACCCGCGGCGUAUUAGCUAGUUGGUGAGGUAAUGGCUCACCAAGGCGAUGAUACGUAGCCGAACUGAGAGGUUGAUCGGCCACAUUGGGACUGAGACACGGCCCAAACUCCUACGGGAGGCAGCAGUAGGGAAUCUUCCACAAUGGACGCAAGUCUGAUGGAGCAACGCCGCGUGAGUGAAGAAGGCUUUCGGGUCGUAAAACUCUGUUGUUGGAGAAGAAUGGUCGGCAGAGUAACUGUUGUCGGCGUGACGGUAUCCAACCAGAAAGCCACGGCUAACUACGUGCCAGCAGCCGCGGUAAUACGUAGGUGGCAAGCGUUAUCCGGAUUUAUUGGGCGUAAAGCGAGCGCAGGCGGUUUUUUAAGUCUGAUGUGAAAGCCCUCGGCUUAACCGAGGAAGCGCAUCGGAAACUGGGAAACUUGAGUGCAGAAGAGGACAGUGGAACUCCAUGUGUAGCGGUGAAAUGCGUAGAUAUAUGGAAGAACACCAGUGGCGAAGGCGGCUGUCUGGUCUGUAACUGACGCUGAGGCUCGAAAGCAUGGGUAGCGAACAGGAUUAGAUACCCUGGUAGUCCAUGCCGUAAACGAUGAAUGCUAGGUGUUGGAGGGUUUCCGCCCUUCAGUGCCGCAGCUAACGCAUUAAGCAUUCCGCCUGGGGAGUACGACCGCAAGGUUGAAACUCAAAGGAAUUGACGGGGGCCCGCACAGCGGUGGAGCAUGUGGUUUAAUUCGAAGCAACGCGAAGAACCUUACCAGGUCUUGACAUCUUUUGAUCACCUGAGAGAUCAGGUUUCCCCUUCGGGGGCAAAAUGACAGGUGGUGCAUGGUUGUCGUCAGCUCGUGUCGUGAGAUGUUGGGUUAAGUCCCGCAACGAGCGCAACCCUUAUGACUAGUUGCCAGCAUUUAGUUGGGCACUCUAGUAAGACUGCCGGUGACAAACCGGAGGAAGGUGGGGAUGACGUCAAAUCAUCAUGCCCCUUAUGACCUGGGCUACACACGUGCUACAAUGGAUGGUACAACGAGUUGCGAGACCGCGAGGUCAAGCUAAUCUCUUAAAGCCAUUCUCAGUUCGGACUGUAGGCUGCAACUCGCCUACACGAAGUCGGAAUCGCUAGUAAUCGCGGAUCAGCACGCCGCGGUGAAUACGUUCCCGGGCCUUGUACACACCGCCCGUCACACCAUGAUAGUUUGUAACACCCGAAGCCGGUGGCGUAACCCUUUUAGGGAGCGAGCCGUCU